Molecule: unclassified non-coding RNA, 1082 nt
Filed under: Hevea brasiliensis (rubber tree)
Lineage: Eukaryota; Viridiplantae; Streptophyta; Magnoliopsida; Malpighiales; Euphorbiaceae
Source: RNAcentral
AGUUGACAAAAUCCAGUAAAUCAUCUCGAGGCCCAAAGCACCAAAGACGAGCAUUUAUCUGUGCUAUGAUACACACAUGCCAUUAUAAAUUAAAAACACAUAAAAUUCAUGAUAUUUACAAAAAGAAAACGAAAAAAUUUGAGCAAUUUAAGUCACUGAUGCUUUCUUAAUAACAUGAUAACUCCAAAUAAAACGAAAGCAAUCAUUAGCACAAAUAAACACCAGGCGAACAUCAUUAGUAUGCUCAAAAUGUCAAAACAGAACUAAAAAAAUCCUGAGACAAGCAAAAAACUUUUUCCACUGCCAUCCCCAUCCUGCAUUGAUAUCUCAUCGGUUGGCCUUAGCAACUCUUUCAAUCUCAUCCUUUUUCUUGAUAGCAUAACUGUUGGAAGAGCCCUUUGCAGCAUUGAUGAGCUCGUCUGCCAAACAUUCUGCAAUAGUCUUGAUGUUUCUGAAAGCAGCUUCACGAGCACCAGUGGUAAGGAGGUAGAUGGCCUGGUUAACACGCCUCAGAGGAGAGAUAUCCACAGCCUGACGCCUGACAACACCAGCAGAACCAAUUCGAGUGGCAUCUUCCCGGGGCCCACUGUUAAUCACGGCAUCCACGAUAACUUGGAUUGGGUUUUGAUCAGUUAGGAGAUGAAUGAUUUCCAUAGCAUGCUUCACAAUCCUAACUGCCAUCAAUUUUUUCCCAUUGUUUCUGCCGUGCAUCAUCAAUGAGUUUGUAAGCCUCUCUACAAUUGGGCACUGGGCCUUCCUGAAACGCUUAACUGAGUACCUCCCAGCAGUGUGUGGAACAUAGGUUGCAUGCUUGGCUGGUUGGACUCCAAUGUAAUCACUCAAGGAAAUAUCAUUAACCUGAACUUCCUCAAAGGUCCAUCGGUUGAAGAGUUUAACCUCGUUGUAAGGCUGAGUAGGUUCUCCGGUCACUGGCAUCGCCGCCAAGGUUGCCGCCAUUGCUCACCUGUGAUUCCAAGAGCUGAAGGAGGAGAGAGAGUGAGUGAGGAGAGAGAGAGAGAGGGCGAAGCGGCUGUCAGCGACCAGGAACAGAGAAAAGCUUCUGAAUUCUGAUUGAAACCCUA